UACGUAGGGUGCAAGCGUUGUCCGGAUUUAUUGGGCGUAAAGAGCUCGUAGGCGGUCUGUCGCGUCGGAUGUGAAAACCCAGGGCUCAACCCUGGGCCUGCAUUCGAUACGGGCAGACUAGAGUAUGGCAGGGGAGACUGGAAUUCCUGGUGUAGCGGUGAAAUGCGCAGAUAUCAGGAGGAACACCAGUGGCGAAGGCGGGUCUCUGGGCCAAAACUGACGCUGAGGAGCGAAAGCCAGGGGAGCAAACGGG
Molecule: ribosomal RNA, 253 nt
Filed under: uncultured bacterium
Lineage: Bacteria
Description: partial 16S ribosomal RNA
Rfam family: Bacterial small subunit ribosomal RNA
Source: RNAcentral